This is a small nuclear RNA of Penaeus indicus, 171 nucleotides long. RefSeq annotates it as U1 spliceosomal RNA. The record is from RefSeq and is a predicted model, not a curated record. NCBI's taxonomy places the organism in Eukaryota, Metazoa, Arthropoda, Malacostraca, Decapoda, Penaeidae. The transcript has a single exon.
AGGCUCCCUGGCGCAGGAGAUACGUGAUCACGAAGGCGGUUUUCAAAGGGCAAGGUUCCCCAUUGCACUCCGGUGGCGCUGACCCUUGCGAAUAACCCAGGUGGGAUUAACUCGAGUGCGAAAUUCUUGGUAGCGGGGGACAGCGUUCGCUAGUGACGCUAGUGACUCCAA